Molecule: ribosomal RNA, 572 nt
Filed under: Taxigramma multipunctata
Lineage: Eukaryota; Metazoa; Arthropoda; Insecta; Diptera; Sarcophagidae
Description: partial 12S ribosomal RNA
Rfam family: tRNA (bases 354-425)
Source: RNAcentral
CAGAGGAACCUGUUCUAUAUCGAUAAUCCACGAUGGACCUUACUUAAGUUUGUAAACAGUUUAUAUACCGUCGUUAUUAGAAUAUUUUAUAAGAAUGAUAAUUUUCGAGUUUUUAAAAAAGAAAAUAUAUCAGAUCAAGGUGUAGCUUAUAUUUAAGUAGAAAUGGGUUACAAUAAAAUUAUUUAAAUGAAUAUAAAUAUGAAAAAUUUAUUGAAGGUGGAUUUGAUAGUAAAAUUAUAAAGAUUAAUAAUUUGAUUUUAGCUCUAAAAUAUGCACACAUCGCCCGUCACUCUUAUUAUUAAGGUAAGAUAAGUCGUAACAUAGUAGAUGUACUGGAAAGUGUAUCUAGAAUGCAAUUUAAAGCUUAUUUAGUAAAGUAUUUCAUUUACAUUGAAAAGAUUUUUGUGCAAAUCAAUAUAAAUUGAUUAAAUUUUAUUUAUUAAUUUUUUUUAUUUAAUAAAUUUAUUAAAAAUAAUUAUAAGUUAAUUUGUUUUAGUAUAUUUUAUAGAAAAAAUAUUUAUAAUAAUAGUUAAAUAGUAUUGUAAAAGAAAAUUGAAAUAUUUUGAAAAAUA